This 666-nucleotide ribosomal RNA is filed under the name uncultured bacterium. Its description in RNAcentral is "bacterial SSU rRNA". It matches the Rfam family "Bacterial small subunit ribosomal RNA", at positions 74 to 756 of the family's 1533-position model. The record is from RNAcentral.
UUACCUUCGGGUAUUGAGGAUGGCGGACGGGUGAGUAACGCGUAAGGAACUUGCCUCUUGGUCUGGGACAACUGUUGGAAACGACAGCUAAUACCGGAUAUUAUGAGAUUCUCGCAUGGGAAACUUAUGAAAGCUAUAUGCGCCAAGAGAGAGCCUUGCGUUCCAUUAGCUAGUUGGUGGGGUAACGGCCCACCAAGGCGACGAUGGAUAGCCGGCCUGAGAGGGUGAACGGCCACAAGGGGACUGAGACACGGCCCUUACUCCUACGGGAGGCAGCAGUGGGGAAUAUUGGACAAUGGGCCACAAGCCUGAUCCAGCAAUUCUGUGUGCACGAUGAAGGUCUUCGGAUUGUAAAGUGCUUUCAGUUGGGAAGAAGAAAGUGACGGUACCAACAGAAGAAGCGACGGCUAAAUACGUGCCAGCAGCCGCGGUAAUACGUAUGUCGCAAGCGUUAUCCGGAUUUAUUGGGCGUAAAGCGCGUCUAGGCGGAAAAAUAAGUCUGAUGUUAAAAUGCGGGGCUCAACUCCGUAUUGCGUUGGAAACUGUUUUUCUAGAGUACUGGAGAGGUGGGCGGAACUACAAGUGUAGAGGUGAAAUUCGUAGAUAUUUGUAGGAAUGCCGAUGGAGAAGUCAGCUCACUGGACAGAUACUGACGCUAAAGCGCGA